CACCUUGGGCGCUCGGUGGGAGUUGUGCCGAAAUUAGUGGAAAAGCAGUCCUCAGCUGUACAAUUUUGCAGCCGUGUUAUGCACCUGGGAAAACUACCCUUCAUAUUAGAAUAUCUGUCACAUGCAGCUUGAAAGACACUGCAAGAGUAAAAGGGAUGGGAUCCUUAUUCCUCCUCUGCUGCCCUCUUAGUAAUCGCAAGGGAUCAACGUGUUCCAUGUGAUCAAAGAAAGGUGAAACUUCUGUGACAACAAGAUGAAAACAGGUUUGCACUGCAUCCUGUGGGAUAUUAGAAUGAGCUGCCAAGAAGCUAGAAGACAGGUCUUUCUAGACAAAAUAUCUAGACCAUGGAGCAUAUGGCAGCCUCCAAGGAAGACAACAUGUCUCAGUCUGCUGGAGAACUCUUCCCUUGCAGGCGACUUCUUUGGGAGAUGAAGGGAGAUGCCAGGGAUUUGGAUAACGUUCACUCAUCUCAGUCUUGGGGAAAAAUCUAGAUGGGCUGAUACGUGUUUGAGGACAUUGUGGAUGACCUCCAGGGGGACCGAACUCAUCAGAAAUCAGAUAUUAAAGGGCCGCUUCACCACUCCUGUCCCAUGUGAGAAAUGCAGGCAGAAAAUAAUUCCUGAUAAAUCAAUGUUCGAAAAGAAAAGAAAGAAAAGAAAAGAAGGGAAAAGAAGAGAAAAGAAGAGAAAAGAAGAGAAAAGAAGAGAAAAGAAAAGAAAAGAAAAGAAAAGAAAAGAAAAGAAAAGAAAAGAAAAGAAAAGAAAAGAAAAGAAAAGAAAAGAAAAGAAAAGAAAAGAAAAGAAAAGAAAAGAAAAGAAAUAAUAUAUUGCGAAUGAGGACUCUCAGACAAUACUGUCAAGUCAGAUAAUCAGCUGAGAGGUCAGAGUGCCUUGAGCUGAAUGGUGUCAGAGAUGCGGUGGAAGGUGCUUUGGGCUUGAUACAUCAUCUCUCUUCAGCCUCCCCAAGAAUUUUAAACAGGAAGGGCAAAAGAUGUUUCCAGGAUGAAUUCGUUCAUUCAUAUACAAAUACCCUAAGUCACAAAAAAGGUGUCUUAGCAACAACAGCAGUGCAAUAACGUUGAGUACACCAGUAAGUCUCAUUGAAAUCUCUCAUUGUGUUCUCCUCUUCUUCUUUUGCUGUGCUUUCAUUUCUAUAAUGUUGCUUUUGAGAACUAACACGUAGCAUGUCUGUAUAUUCUACCAUCCCACUGUACCAUAUAUCUCAUUUUAAUGUCGAAUAAUGUUUGUACGAUUGUCAGCUAAUCUAGAUAAACAAAUCCUUGCUUUAAUAAUUUCAUUGCAAAACCAGAACAUUGUUCUAGACACUGUCAUAUUUUUUUUGUACAUUCUGAAACUGCUCUUCCCAGUGCAAUAACGACUUCCAUAUCAAGCAAAGGGAUCAUGCUGCAAAGACUCAAGCAAAUCUGUGCUUUUCUUUAUGUAAAUGCUGAAUGCUUAUUAAGCCUUCACUGUAGUAAGGUAUUUAGCAGUUGAUCAACACAAAUAAAUUUCUUCUGCAAGCUUAGCUGACAAUUUCAGUGGGUUGAUAUCUGAAAGGGUAUUUUAGUUUGUCUCACUGCUGCCUCAUGCACUCAAGUAAUUCAAGAAGGAGGUCAGUGAAUGGGUAGUUAGUGGGAACACUUACUGCAGCUGUAGCUUUUCUCUAAUUUUUCUGUGGAUAAUUUCAUAUAUUUUUGUCUUUAGUGCGUUGCUGUUCCCAUUGCUCUCAUAAGUGGAAAUAAUUGCUUAUAUUUUUUUAAAGUAAAGAAACCAGGAGAUAGCUCCCUAGAAAACAGAGUCACUAAGCUGACUACUUAAAUUAAUAUAAAUAUGACUAAGUAAAGUUUCAUCUGAUAAAGGCAUUAAUGUGAAAUCUGAAAUAAAUGCUCUUGUGUAAAAGAUUGUCAGGGCAAAACUUCAGGGUUUGAUUUUCC
RNAcentral lists this long non-coding RNA (1934 nucleotides) under Gallus gallus (chicken). Its description in RNAcentral is "lncRNA (ENSGALG00010024405.1)". Lineage: Eukaryota; Metazoa; Chordata; Aves; Galliformes; Phasianidae. The record is from RNAcentral.